RNAcentral lists this ribosomal RNA (467 nucleotides) under uncultured bacterium. RNAcentral describes it as "partial 16S ribosomal RNA". It matches the Rfam family "Bacterial small subunit ribosomal RNA", at positions 28 to 507 of the family's 1533-position model. The record is from RNAcentral.
GACGAACGCUGGCGGCGUGCUUAACACAUGCAAGUCGAACGGAAAGGCCUCUUUCGGGGGGUACUCGCGUGGCGAACGGGUGAGUAACACGUGAGUAACCUGCCCUUGACUUUGGGAUAACUUCAGGAAACUGGGGCUAAUACCGGAUAGGAGCUCCUGCUGCAUGGUGUGGGUUGGAAAGUUUCGGCGGUUGGGGAUGGACUCGCGGCUUAUCAGCUUGUUGGUGGGGUAGUGGCUUACCAAGGCGUUGUCGGGUAGCCGGGCUGAGAGGGGGACCGGCCACAUUGGGACUGGGAUACGGCCCAGAAUCCUACGGGGGGCAGCAGUGGGGAAUAUUGCACAAUGGGUGGAAGCCUGAUGCAGCAACGCCGGGUGCGGGAUGACGGCCUUCGGGUUGUAAACCGCUUUCGCUCAUGACGAAGCUUUGUGUGACGGUAGUGGGUAAAGAAGCACCGGCUAACUACGUG